RNAcentral lists this ribosomal RNA (492 nucleotides) under uncultured bacterium. Its description in RNAcentral is "bacterial SSU rRNA". It matches the Rfam family "Bacterial small subunit ribosomal RNA", at positions 33 to 524 of the family's 1533-position model. The record is from RNAcentral.
GACGCUGGCGGCGUGCCUAACACAUGCAAGUCGAGCGGGGAUAGUCCGUAAGGAUGUGUACCAGCGGCGGACGGGUGAGUAACGCGUGAGAACAUGCCUUUUAGUGAAGAAUACCUCAGGGAAGCCUGAGUUAAUACUGCAUAAUCCCUUAUGGGGGAAAGGUGGCUUUAUGCUGCCGCUAAAAGAUUGGCUUGCGUACUAUUAGCUAGUUGGUGAGGUAAUGGCUCACCAAGGCUUUGAUGGUUAACCGGCCUGAGAGGGUGUACGGUCACAUUGGAACUGAGAUACGGUCCAGACUCCUACGGGAGGCAGCAGUGGGGAAUAUUGCGCAAUGGGCGAAAGCCUGACGCAGCAACGCCGCGUGGAGGAUGAAGGUCUUCGGAUUGUAAACUUCUGUCUAGUGAGAAGAAAGACUUGCUAAUAAAACGGGCAAGGGAUGACGGUAUCACUAAAGAAAGCACUGGCUAAUCUCGUGCCAGCAGCCGCGGUAAU